GUGGGGAAUUUUGGACAAUGGGCGCAAGCCUGAUCCAGCAAUGCCGCGUGAGUGAAGAAGGCCUUCGGGUUGUAAAGCUCUUUCGGACGGAAAGAAAUCGGCGGGGUGAAUAAUCCUGCUGGAUGACGGUACCGUAAGAAGAAGCACCGGCUAACUACGUGCCAGCAGCCGCGGUAAUACGUAGGGUGCGAGCGUUAAUCGGAAUUACUGGGCGUAAAGCGUGCGCAGGCGGCGCUGUAAGACAGGUGUGAAAUCCCCGGGCUUAACCUGGGAAUGGCGCUUGUGACUGCAGUGCUCGAGUGCGGCAGAGGGGGGUGGAAUUCCACGUGUAGCAGUGAAAUGCGUAGAGAUGUGGAGGAACACCGAUGGCGAAGGCAGCCCCCUGGGUCGACACUGACGCUCAUGCACGAAAGCGUGGGGAGCAAACAGGAUUAGAUACCCGAGUAGUCC
RNAcentral lists this ribosomal RNA (450 nucleotides) under uncultured beta proteobacterium. RNAcentral describes it as "bacterial SSU rRNA". It matches the Rfam family "Bacterial small subunit ribosomal RNA", at positions 354 to 796 of the family's 1533-position model. Lineage: Bacteria; Pseudomonadati; Pseudomonadota; Betaproteobacteria. The record is from RNAcentral.